UUCAGUUCGAGACCCUGAUCUAGACGCUUAAGGCAAGUUAAAAACUUUGAACUGACAUACGCAAAGGAAGACGUGUGGCAGAAGACAAAACUGCAAAUCCCACUGAACCGCCAUUUUCCAUAUUAAAGGCGACUCUAACAACCCUAAACAGAGAUAUGAUGGAGGGUUUAGAAGACUAUUCAUGUGUUUGAAUGGUCUCGUCAAAGUCCAGUUUUAAGCCCAAUAGGAAUCUGUGCCAAGAUUUAAAAACUAAUUAUUUACUACUAAAUACUACUUAGGCUAAAUACUAAAUAUUUCAGUCUGUGUGCAAUUUGUGAAACGGUCUACUGUGCUGCAUACAAAUGCAUCCCACAUUUUCCAAGUUUUAUUUGUUAAAAGUUUGGAAAACCUUUUAUCCUUUUUUUCCCCACUUCACAAUGAGGUCCAUAGUUUUUUAUCUGUCACAUAAAAUCCUUGUAAAAUAGACUGAAGUUUGUGGAUCUUAAUGACAAAAUGUGAAAGAGUUUAAAGGGUGGGAAGAGUUUUGCCAGGAAAGGUUCUGGUGAAGCUUUGGAUUUGCUUUUUAGGUUUUAAUCCAGGGUGGGCCAUAAAUUUCCAUACAUAGAAAAAAUAAAACAGUUUAUAUUCAACAACUGUUUUUAUUUUUGUGGGACUCUGUGUAAUCGCUGCCCGUCUUGGACCACUUCGUGGUUGAUCUGCAACAUUUCCAGUUUUCUGAAACUUGCAAAUAAGUUUUGCCACAGUGUCGUGUCUGCGUGUGUGUGUGUGUCUGUGU
Molecule: long non-coding RNA, 775 nt
Organism: Xiphophorus hellerii (green swordtail)
Lineage: Eukaryota; Metazoa; Chordata; Actinopteri; Cyprinodontiformes; Poeciliidae
Exons: 3
Source: RefSeq, a predicted model, not a curated record